GAUGUAUUUCAAGCUUCUGUCCAGAAGCUUGGAAGAAAAAGUGGACUUCAAUUUGUUGGAAUGGAGAAAGGAGUGGAUAGCAUAUUCAAAUAAGUGGCAAGAAAGUAAAGAGCUUUACCCUGUGAAGGCUAAAGGAGACGCCCUUGCUAUUGCUACCGUUCUAUAUGAAAAAUAUUUCAGUUGAGAUGAGAUUUAUCCAUUUCUGGAGUCAAACAUGAACAGAAAUGGAAAACUUUUUCAUGAUUGUACAAUAAUAAAGUUGGUUUUAUUUUUGUUUCAUCUCUCAGUGGAUGGUGUGUUUGAUAGAAUGUGUUGUUGGCUGUGACAAAAGUUGAUUAAUCUGGUUGUAAUC
Molecule: unclassified non-coding RNA, 352 nt
Filed under: Hevea brasiliensis (rubber tree)
Lineage: Eukaryota; Viridiplantae; Streptophyta; Magnoliopsida; Malpighiales; Euphorbiaceae
Source: RNAcentral